This 1048-nucleotide long non-coding RNA is filed under the name Oryctolagus cuniculus (rabbit). RNAcentral's name for it is "lncRNA (ENSOCUG00000036812.1)". Lineage: Eukaryota; Metazoa; Chordata; Mammalia; Lagomorpha; Leporidae. The record is from RNAcentral.
CACUUAACUCAGAGUUCCCGGGAGGACCCCUGAUCCCGGAGCCGUUCUCCGAGUGGGACCCUGUGUCAGGUCUCGUCCCCUUCCUGGUGGCUCGGGGCAGCCGGCUUUGCUGAUGGCUUGCAGAUGACUCAUCAGGAGGGCUUGCAGGAGAACUCAUUUCGCUGCGCUUUGUUCCUAGAGUAAAAUUAAUUGUCAUCAUUAUAUUUUUUGUGAGUGGUGUUCGAGCCUGUGCGUCGACGAUGACGUGACAGCCGGCUCCUGUGACCUCGGUCUGGAUCCCAUUGAAACGGGCAUCCCAGCGCCGGAGGAGUUAACCAAACAACACCCCCAAAGCCGCUCGUUCUGUGCCGUGCCCUUGACCUUGGAGAGGUCUUUCUCUCCUCGCUCGUCUCCACAUGAAGGAAAAUUUAUUUCUCCCUCUCCAGUGAUGGAGAAAAUGAGCCUCAUUCGCGAACAUUUCCAGAGGGAAACAGUUCCGUGUUAUCGUUGUGGUGCUGGUUAAUUUUUUUUUUCUGAUUGCCUGUCUGAUACUUAGACAUGACUGGUCUUUAAUAUCUAUGUAGCACAUGGUUGAGUGGGACUAAAGCAAGUAUACGUUGUGAGAGGCUGAGGACUAUGCAAUCAUAUAUAUAUAUAUAUAUAUAAUCUGGUUUUUGAAGUAUCAGAGAUGGAGUGUUUUAGCAUUUUUUGCUAUAAAAGUGCCUUGAUUCAAUCGCUUCAGACAUUCCUCCUAUUUUGUUGUAACCUUGAAUGUGUCUUCUGACCCCAAACUGUGUACUAUGAAGCAUUCGGACUGCGGCAGUCCAAGCAGAGGUUGUGUUCCAAUAGCAGAGACCAAAGAGUUCAUCAGAUCCGGUUUAGUUGCUACAGCCGUGUGAUUCCAGUGCCGCUGAAUCGCACCACAUUUCCGUGGUCCACACCAUCGAGGCCUGCCAUGCGUGUUCUCUUUCAGGUUGGAGUGAAUUUGCACUUUUUAAUCAGAGGGGUCAUUUGGGGACCUUGUUCUUUAUAUAUAUAUAUAUUUUUUUGCUUUAUUAAUAAAGAAACU